AUGACGCGUACGCGUGACGAGCGUCACAUAAUGCAGAUAUCAGAAAACGCUGGGGCAAUUUCUUGGCUGUCUUUGGCCCAGUUCCAAUCCUGAAAACACUUAUUAGAGGCUGCAGAGUGAGGUAAUUAGGGAUG
Molecule: non-coding RNA, 134 nt
Organism: Arachis ipaensis
Lineage: Eukaryota; Viridiplantae; Streptophyta; Magnoliopsida; Fabales; Fabaceae
Source: RefSeq, a predicted model, not a curated record